UGGCUCAGGAUGAACGCUAGCUACAGGCUUAACACAUGCAAGUCGAGGGGCAUCAGGAAGAAAGCUUGCUUUCUUUGCUGGCGACCGGCGCACGGGUGAGUAACACGUAUCCAACCUGCCCUUUACUCGGGGAUAGCCUUUCGAAAGAAAGAUUAAUACCCGAUGGCAUAAUGAUUCCGCAUGGUUUCAUUAUUAAAGGAUUCCGGUAAAGGAUGGGGAUGCGUUCCAUUAGGUUGUUGGUGAGGUAACGGCUCACCAAGCCUUCGAUGGAUAGGGGUUCUGAGAGGAAGGUCCCCCACAUUGGAACUGAGACACGGUCCAAACUCCUACGGGAGGCAGCAGUGAGGAAUAUUGGUCAAUGGGCGCUAGCCUGAACCAGCCAAGUAGCGUGAAGGAUGAAGGCUCUAUGGGUCGUAAACUUCUUUUAUAUAAGAAUAAAGUGCAGUAUGUAUACUGUUUUGUAUGUAUUAUAUGAAUAAGGAUCGGCCAACUCCGUGCCAGCAGCCGCGGUAAUACGGAGGAUCCGAGCGUUAUCCGGAUUUAUUGGGUUUAAAGGGAGCGUAGGUGGACUGGUAAGUCAGUUGUGAAAGUUUGCGGCUCAACCGUAAAAUUGCAGUUGAUACUGUCAGUCUUGAGUACAGUAGAGGUGGGCGGAAUUCGUGGUGUAGCGGUGAAAUGCUUAGAUAUCACGAAGAACUCCGAUUGCGAAGGCAGCUCACUGGACUGCAACUGACACUGAUGCUCGAAAGUGUGGGUAUCAAACAGGAUUAGAUACCCUGGUAGUCCACACAGUAAACGAUGAAUACUCGCUGUUUGCGAUAUACAGUAAGCGGCCAAGCGAAAGCAUUAAGUAUUCCACCUGGGGAGUACGCCGGCAACGGUGAAACUCAAAGGAAUUGACGGGGGCCCGCACAAGCGGAGGAACAUGUGGUUUAAUUCGAUGAUACGCGAGGAACCUUACCCGGGCUUAAAUUGCAGUGGAAUGAUGUGGAAACAUGUCAGUGAGCAAUCACCGCUGUGAAGGUGCUGCAUGGUUGUCGUCAGCUCGUGCCGUGAGGUGUCGGCUUAAGUGCCAUAACGAGCGCAACCCUUAUCUUUAGUUACUAACAGGUUAUGCUGAGGACUCUAGAGAGACUGCCGUCGUAAGAUGUGAGGAAGGUGGGGAUGACGUCAAAUCAGCACGGCCCUUACGUCCGGGGCUACACACGUGUUACAAUGGGGGGUACAGAAGGCAGCUAGCGGGUGACCGUAUGCUAAUCCCAAAAGCCUCUCUCAGUUCGGAUCGAAGUCUGCAACCCGACUUCGUGAAGCUGGAUUCGCUAGUAAUCGCGCAUCAGCCACGGCGCGGUGAAUACGUUCCCGGGCCUUGUACACACCGCCCGUCAAGCCAUGGGAGCCGGGGGUACCUGAAGUACGUAACCGCAAGGAUCGUCCUAGGGUAAAACUGG
This 1448-nucleotide ribosomal RNA is filed under the name uncultured organism. RNAcentral's name for it is "SSU rRNA". It matches the Rfam family "Bacterial small subunit ribosomal RNA". The record is from RNAcentral.